GACGAACGCUGGCGGCGUGCUUAACACAUGCAAGUCGAACGGGAUUUAGUAAACGGAAGCUUCGGUGGAAGAUUACUAAUGAGAGUGGCGAACGGGUGAGUAACGCGUGAGCAACCUGCCUAUGACAGUGGGAUAGCCUCGGGAAACCGGGAUUAAUACCGCAUAAAAUCGUAGAAACACAUGUUUUAACGGUCAAAGAUUUAUCGGUCAUAGAUGGGCUCGCGUCUGAUUAGCUAGUUGGUGAGAUAACAGCCCACCAAGGCGACGAUCAGUAGCCGGUCUGAGAGGAUGAACGGCCACAUUGGAACUGAGACACGGUCCAAACUCCUACGGGAGGCAGCAGUGGGGAAUAUUGCACAAUGGGGGAAACCCUGAUGCAGCGACGCCGCGUGAACGAAGAAGGUAUUCGUAUCGUAAAGUUCUGUCCUAUGGGAAGAUAAUGACAGUACCAUAGAAGAAAGCUCCGGCUAAAUACGUGCCAGCAGCCGCGGUAAUACGUAUGGAGCGAGCGUUGUCCGGAAUUAUUGGGCGUAAAGGGUACGCAGGCGGUUUAAUAAGUCGAAUGUUAAAGAUCGGGGCUCAACCCCGUAAAGCAUUGGAAACUGAUAAACUUGAGUAGUGGAGAGGAAAGUGGAAUUCCUAGUGUAGUGGUGAAAUACGUAGAUAUUAGGAGGAAUAGCAGUAAUCGAAAGAGACUUUCUGGACACAAACUGGACACUGAGGUACAAAAGCAUGGGGGGGCAAGCAGGAAUAAAUACCCUGGAAGACAAUGAGGAAUUCCACAGUGGAAUUCAAUCGUAUCGAGACGUCCACCUCGAGGGAGGGCGCGGGACCAAAUUUGGUUCUAUGUAGAGAGGGGGGUCCAGCACUUCUCUACCCGUAUACACUGCUGUUUACAAGGGGAGGGCGGUGGGGGGGGGGCUGUUCUAUGGGAAAU
RNAcentral lists this ribosomal RNA (937 nucleotides) under uncultured Streptococcus sp. RNAcentral describes it as "bacterial SSU rRNA". It matches the Rfam family "Bacterial small subunit ribosomal RNA". Lineage: Bacteria; Bacillati; Bacillota; Bacilli; Lactobacillales; Streptococcaceae. The record is from RNAcentral.